AUUGAACGCUGGCGGCAUGCUUUACACAUGCAAGUCGAACGGUAACAGGCCGCAAGGUGCUGACGAGUGGCGAACGGGUGAGUAAUGCAUCGGAACGUGCCCAGUCGUGGGGGAUAACUACUCGAAAGAGUAGCUAAUACCGCAUACGAUCUAUGGAUGAAAGCGGGGGACCGUAAGGCCUCGCGCGAUUGGAGCGGCCGAUGUCAGAUUAGGUAGUUGGUGGGGUAAAGGCUCACCAAGCCAACGAUCUGUAGCUGGUCUGAGAGGACGACCAGCCACACUGGGACUGAGACACGGCCCAGACUCCUACGGGAGGCAGCAGUGGGGAAUUUUGGACAAUGGGCGCAAGCCUGAUCCAGCAAUGCCGCGGGCAGGAAGAAGGCCUUCGGGUUGUAAACUGCUUUUGUACGGAAAGAAACGGCUCUGGUUAAUACCCGGGGCUAAUGACGGUACCGGAAGAAUAAGCACCGGCUAACUACGUG
Molecule: ribosomal RNA, 482 nt
Filed under: uncultured bacterium
Lineage: Bacteria
Description: partial 16S ribosomal RNA
Rfam family: Bacterial small subunit ribosomal RNA
Source: RNAcentral